This 252-nucleotide ribosomal RNA is filed under the name uncultured bacterium. RNAcentral's name for it is "partial 16S ribosomal RNA". It matches the Rfam family "Bacterial small subunit ribosomal RNA", at positions 524 to 776 of the family's 1533-position model. The record is from RNAcentral.
GACGAAGGAUGCAAGCGUUAUCCGGAUUCAUUGGGUUUAAAGGGAGCGUAGGUGGCCUUAUAAGUCAGUGGUGAAAUCUCUGGGCUUAACCCAGAAAUUGCCAUUGAUACUGUAGGGCUUGAGUACAGUUGCUGUGGGCGGAAUAUGACAUGUAGUGGUGAAAUACAUAGAGAUGUCAUAGAACACCAUUGCGAAGGCAGCUCACAAAACUGUAACUGACACUGAGGCUCGAAAGUGCGGGGAUCAAACAGG